CUGCCUGCCUGCCUGCCUGCCUGCCUGCCUCUGCCAGUAAGCUCUCAGUCAUUCUGCUUCCUGUGUCUGUGUUUGGGUCCUUUUCCCUGUUCCCUGCGUGCCAACACAUCAUAACAGUGAGGUGUUUUCACAGAUUUACGUCUUCAGCAGAGCUGAGAGCCACAGACAGGAAGUCCGUGUUGAGAGACGGACUAACAUGUUGUUGGUUUUGGUCCUUUCAUGGGAUUUGUUGCCUAUAGUAAAAAGACAGACCAACACCUCACCCUUUCAGAUAUGGAUGCGACCAGGCUCCUAAAAUGCUUAAUUAACCGUAAGGAAAGAUUGAUGCCUCGAUGUUAACUUGAAGGACAAGACGGGGCAUGAACCCUCGUCUCCAGUCAUACUGCUUUGGAUGCCGAAUGAUCCACCCUGACAUCCUCCGUGUGUCUGAAAUGAAACUACCUAAUGGCUGCUAAGAGAACGCUGGCCAGUAGCUUGCUAAACUCGCAGGAGACAUGGUUUUAGAAAGUGAGGACCUUUUGUGGGAGGUUAGGAGACUUUUGGAUAGUGAGGACAUUUUGAAAGUCAAUGCAUUUGUCCUCACUUCCUCCCAGUAUUGUUUUGAGUGUUGUUGCUGUCUUCAGGGUUAAAGUUGAAUUGGGUUUUUGGUUGCGGUUAGGACCUGCAGGGAACUCUUUUUAUAAAUAAGGGUCCUCACAAGUAUACAGUUACAAACACACACAUUUGCAUGUGUCUGAGCCGUUUUUCACCACCUACAGGGUAAGACUCUGGCUGAAUAAAUGCUUUCUCUAAAUGGUCAGAAUACAUGAAUGUUAAUGCAGCGUGUGUGUGUGUGUGUGUGUGUGUGUGUGUUGGACAAAAGAUAAACCAGUCACAAAAUCUGACUCUUCCUGUCUCCUUGGCUCUUCUGGCUGUCCUGCUGCGUGAUGUAUGUCCACACUGCAGGUGACACACACACUGUUACCUUGUGUGUUACUGUCCUGCUGGAGUCAAGCAGUGAAGCUGCAUGAGGUUCCAUGUGUGUGAAACUAGUGUCAUGUAUUGUUUUGUUUAUUGUUUAACACGCAGUGACAAACGUUCAUGACUGCACUGCGUUACCUUUCACAGUGUUUACUGACGGCUGCUGGUUUUGUUUAUGUCCAGCUGUUUAUGUAUGCAUGACAGGCAGGUUUAAAGUGUUAUCACCAACAGAGUAUUUGCUAUAACCAUCAGAUUAUUGUCAUCAGCUGCGUUUUUGAUGCCACUCCAGACCGAACGUCCACUGCGAUGGGAGUUUUGAAAAAUCCACAAACUGAAUUCAUUAUUUCACAGUUAGUUAACUUUACUCCUGGUCCAAGAAAGUGAGCUCUACAUGUAUAUCAACAUUUAUUAAAAAAAGUUAAAAAGGUUGCUUAUUCCUCAUUGUUCUGGAGCUUUCGACAUCUUCAGUUCCAUCACACAGAGCGACCUUUGCUGAUGAAGACCAUGUAAUAUGGACGAAAGAGGACUUUAAAGGGAGACUCAGUAACUUUUGAAAGAUGAGAACACGUUCUUCCUUUCCUUUAACCUUACUUGGUCGGAUAGCCUAUGGUGGCUAACGUUAGCUAACUUUACAUAGUGCUGCUGUCUUAACGAGUGUCAUUUUGCUGACUUGCUAACUCUUCUCUGGGUCUGUCAGGGCUGUUUCAGUUUGGAGAGAGGAAGGAAAAAAAAAAACCCUGGGGAGAGUCUUUUUAUUUAUUUAUUUUUUAUUAAAUGAAAUGUAAAAAUUACCCCACUCGUUUAGCAAGCUCUCACCGCUUUCAUUUUUAUUAAUUUCAUGCCAAAUUCAUAGACACCGCUCUGCUGCAGAACUCCCCUCAGCCUGCCCGGCCGACUUCCAGCAGCUCCGUCUCCACUGCAGCCGUUAGGAACAUCUGCAUGUGAAGUCGUGGCGUCGGAGUUUAGGUUGAAACAGAUUGUGGUGUGAGCUGCUGCUGGACGGAGAGCAGCUGGGACGACAAGGUGUUUGAUAUUCAUCGCUUCUUUCUUCAGAUUUUCUCCUUUUUUUCCUCUGGCAGCGAGAGUAAUCUGUUCUGAAAACACAAGGAGUUUCAGCAGUGUCAUCGUCAUGGUGACCUUAAGGAUGGAGCCACUGAGGCUGUGCGACAGACAGAGCUGGACCCAAAAUGCAGACUCAGAGAGAUUAGCAGGAAGUGAACACCGUUUUAUCUCGGGAGCCGGUAGUGAGUACGACGGCGCGAUCGGUGAUGGUGGAUCCGUGAGCAGACAGGAGAAACCGGCGUGGAGGGAGCAGAGCAGGUGUAGACCGGGGUCCGUCUAGGCGAGGCUGAGAGCGAGGCGGGCGGGCAGGAAACUUCCAGAGAUGAGGUGGACCUGAACACAGGAAGACAGCGAGUUACACUUGGGUCUAAACACACGAAGCAAGGAAAACAAAGCAAGAUACUUGACAUGAGCCGAAGGUAAGCUGAUGAUCUGGCGAAGACUGCAGCGUCAGAGUCAGGUGAUGGGAGGAACCGGGGGAGCCACGCCCAGACAGACACACAGAGACAGAGGAGACUGGCUGUGUCGGGACACUUUCAUUCAUCGCUGGAGCUUCGAAAUCAAAUACUCAAUCAAAAAUAUAACUGAAGAGAUUAAAGCCUCAACUCCACGAUACCCAAGCCCAGUGUCCGAGGAAUUACGUCGGAUGAUUCUGCACCUGACGAUAUGUGCAGCUGCCAUCAUCAUCAUCAUCAUCUGUAGUGUGUCUUCUGUGUGUUUUAAUCCCAGUCUGCGCUGUGACUGGCAGGCUCAUUACAGCAGGGCUUCAAACGCUGACGAGGAAAAGAAUCGACUGCGUUGCUGCGGUGACAAAUAUAGACCAUGGACACAUUACAAAGUUUUCAACAGCGCUACCAGAGAGGACGUUCGGCAGCAGAAAGGAUCCAGGCCGCCGUAAAGUCCUGCAACUUUCUGCACAUCAGGAACAGCACGCUAAAAUGUCCCCACAGUAGUUGUGUUUGUGUAUGUGUUUUUAAAAAAGCUGAAUCAUUUUUUAAAAAAUGAUUGAAAAUGACACAUACAUCCCGGUAAGCAUGAUUGCGGUGAUUUGCAGGUCAAAAGACAUCAAGGGUUAAAACCAGCGACCUGUCAUUUUGGUUACAAAGACAAGCUUUUUAAACGUCUGGCUGCAACGAAUUUUUACCAGCAGUUAAAUUACAAUGAAGGUCCUAAAUACAGACUGAACUAUAGUCUGAAAAUCAGGUGAAACUACAAUUCUGUGUAAGAUUUGAAAAGUUUCACUUUUCAAACAAAUUCAGAGUUUUGACCUGCACAUCACCGAAUCGAUGCUACGGGAACACGAUGCAAAGCUACAUCUUCCUGAAAAUGUGAGUUAGGCCUGAACUGUUGGGAUAAAGCUUGAGCAGAGAUCUGAAAAAAGCGAUAAGAACUUUAGCUUAAAUCUCAAAACUGAAAACAUAAAAGGCAUCCGUAACUGCAGUCAAAAUCAUUGUCAAAAGUAUUAAUAUCUUUUAUUGGAAGGACGAACAGAGGCUGGUUCGGUCACACCAGGAUGUAGCACACCGAAGUCCAUAAUGCUAAAAAAUGCUUUGCGCUAGCUAGCUUGCUAAUUGCCAGCGAGCGUGGUUGCGUUAGCGCGGUCACUAACGCAGGGU
This is a long non-coding RNA of Siniperca chuatsi (mandarin fish), 3638 nucleotides long. RefSeq lists it as uncharacterized. The transcript has 6 exons. NCBI's taxonomy places the organism in Eukaryota, Metazoa, Chordata, Actinopteri, Centrarchiformes, Sinipercidae. The record is from RefSeq and is a predicted model, not a curated record.